GACGAACGCUGGCGGCGUGCCUAACACAUGCAAGUCAACUUGACUGAAGGAGCAAUCUGACAGUAGAGUGGCGCAAGGGUGCGUAACGCGUAAGUAACUUGCCCAAGGUAAGGAAUAACGUCGAGAAAUCGGCGCUAAUACCUCAUAAUGCAGCGGAUCCGCAUGGAUAUGUUGUUAAAGGUUUACCGCCUUGGGAUAGGCUUGCGUCUGAUUAGCUAGUUGGUGUGGUAACGGCACACCAAGGCUACGAUCAGUAACUGGUCUGAGAGGAUGAUCAGUCACACUGGAACUGAGACACGGUCCAGACUCCUACGGGAGGCAGCAGUGAGGAAUAUUGGGCAAUGCUCGAAAGAGUGACCCAGCAACGCCGCGUGGAGGAUGAAGGUAUUCUAUAUCGUAAACUCCUGUGAGAGCAGACGAAAGACAGAUUAUUAAUCUGGAUGACUGUGUG
This 451-nucleotide ribosomal RNA is filed under the name uncultured bacterium. Its description in RNAcentral is "bacterial SSU rRNA". It matches the Rfam family "Bacterial small subunit ribosomal RNA", at positions 28 to 479 of the family's 1533-position model. The record is from RNAcentral.